AACGCAGGACGCAAGCGUUAUCCGGAGUUACUGGGCGUAAAGCGCGGGCAGGCGGUCGGUCAAGUCUGAUGUGAAAUCUCUCCGCUCAACGGGGAGCAGCCAUUGGAAACUGGGCGACUGGAGUCUGACAGAGGUAGGCGGAAUUCCGGGUGGAGUGGUGAAAUGCGUAGAGAUCCGGAGGAACACCAGAGGCGAAGGCGGCCUACUGGGUCAGUACUGACGCUGAGCCGCGAAAGCCAGGGGAGCGAACGGG
RNAcentral lists this ribosomal RNA (253 nucleotides) under uncultured bacterium. RNAcentral's name for it is "partial 16S ribosomal RNA". It matches the Rfam family "Bacterial small subunit ribosomal RNA", at positions 524 to 776 of the family's 1533-position model. The record is from RNAcentral.